AAAGCUUGCUUUUGAUGGUCGUCGACCGGCGCACGGGUGAGUAACGCGUAUCCAACCUGCCCAUCACUUGGGGAUAACCUUGCGAAAGUAAGACUAAUACCCAAUGAUAUCUCUAGAAGACAUCUGAAAGAGAUUAAAGAUUUAUCGGUGAUGGAUGGGGAUGCGUCUGAUUAGCUUGUUGGCGGGGUAACGGCCCACCAAGGCAACGAUCAGUAGCCGGGCUGAGAGGCUCUUCGGCCACAUUGGGACUGAGAUACGGCCCAAACUCC
RNAcentral lists this ribosomal RNA (269 nucleotides) under uncultured bacterium. RNAcentral's name for it is "partial 16S ribosomal RNA". It matches the Rfam family "Bacterial small subunit ribosomal RNA", at positions 70 to 339 of the family's 1533-position model. The record is from RNAcentral.